Molecule: ribosomal RNA, 464 nt
Filed under: uncultured soil bacterium
Lineage: Bacteria
Description: bacterial SSU rRNA
Rfam family: Bacterial small subunit ribosomal RNA
Source: RNAcentral
AGAUUGAACGCUAGCGGGAUGCUUUACACAUGCAAGUCGAACGGCAGCGCGGACUUCGGUCUGGCGGCGAGUGGCGAACGGGUGAGUAAUAUAUCGGAACGUGCCCAGUAGCGGGGGAUAACUACGCGAAAGCGUGGCUAAUACCGCAUACGCCCUACGGGGGAAGGGGGGGAUCGCAAGACCUCUCACUAUUGGAGCGGCCGAUAUCGGAUUAGCUAGUUGGUGGGGUAAAGGCUCACCAAGGCUUCGAUCCGUAGCUGGUUUGAGAGGACGACCAGCCACACUGGAACUGAGACACGGUCCAGACUCCUACGGGAGCAGCAGUGGGAAUUUGGACAAUGGGCGCAAGCCUGAUCCAGCAAUGCCGCGUGCAGGAAGAAGGCCUUGGGUUGUAAACUGUCUUUGUACGGAACGAACGGUCGUGGUUAAUACCGUACGGCUAAGUGACGGUACGUAAGAAUAAG